This 503-nucleotide ribosomal RNA is filed under the name uncultured bacterium. RNAcentral describes it as "partial 16S ribosomal RNA". It matches the Rfam family "Bacterial small subunit ribosomal RNA", at positions 30 to 523 of the family's 1533-position model. The record is from RNAcentral.
AUUGAACGCUGGCGGCAGGCUUAACACAUGCAAGUCGAGCGGGGUGAUGGUGCUUGCACUAUCACUUAGCGGCGGACGGGUGAGUAAUGCUUAGGAAUCUGCCUAUUAGUGGGGGACAACAUCUCGAAAGGGAUGCUAAUACCGCAUACGUCCUACGGGAGAAAGCAGGGGAUCACUUGUGACCUUGCGCUAAUAGAUGAGCCUAAGUCGGAUUAGCUAGUUGGUGGGGUAAAGGCCUACCAAGGCGACGAUCUGUAGCGGGUCUGAGAGGAUGAUCCGCCGCCAUGGGACAGAGACACGGCCCAGACUCCUACGGUAGGCAGCAGUGGGGAAUAUUGGACAAUGGGGGGAACCCUGAUCCAGCCAUGCCGCGUGUGUGAAGAAGGCCUUAUGGUUGUAAAGCACUUUAAGCAAGGAGGAGGCUCUUUUGGUUAAUACCCAAGAUGAGUGGACGUUACUCGCAGAAUAAGCACCGGCUAACUCUGUGCCAGCCGCCGCCGUAA